AGAGUAAUAGCUAAGAGGUAGAGGGCAUGCCUAGUAUGCAUGAGCUCCUGGGUUCAUUUCCCAGUACCUCCA
Molecule: transfer RNA, 72 nt
Filed under: Camelus bactrianus (Bactrian camel)
Lineage: Eukaryota; Metazoa; Chordata; Mammalia; Artiodactyla; Camelidae
Also listed under: 1 other name
Rfam family: tRNA
About the family: Transfer RNA (tRNA) molecules are approximately 80 nucleotides in length. Their secondary structure includes four short double-helical elements and three loops (D, anti-codon, and T loops). Further hydrogen bonds mediate the characteristic L-shaped molecular structure. tRNAs have two regions of fundamental functional importance: the anti-codon, which is responsible for specific mRNA codon recognition, and the 3' end, to which the tRNAs corresponding amino acid is attached (by aminoacyl-tRNA synthetases). tRNAs cope with the degeneracy of the genetic code in two manners: having more than one tRNA (with a specific anti-codon) for a particular amino acid; and 'wobble' base-pairing, i.e. permitting non-standard base-pairing at the 3rd anti-codon position.
Source: Rfam by way of RNAcentral